Molecule: ribosomal RNA, 253 nt
Filed under: uncultured bacterium
Lineage: Bacteria
Description: partial 16S ribosomal RNA
Rfam family: Bacterial small subunit ribosomal RNA
Source: RNAcentral
UACAGAGGUCCCGAGCGUUGUUCGGAUUCACUGGGCGUAAAGGGUGCGUAGGUGGUGAGGUAAGUCGGAUGUGAAAGCUCCAAGCUCAACUUGGAAAUGGCAUUGGAAACUACCUUGCUAGAGGGUUUGAGGGGGGACUGGAAUACUUGGUGUAGCAGUGAAAUGCGUAGAUAUCAGGAGGAACAUCGGUGGCGAAGGCGGAUCUCUGGGCCUGUCCUGACGCUCAGGCGCGAAAGCUAGGGGAGCGAACAGG